GGAGGGUUGGCUGAGAUGGAUUAAAGCGCCGGGUUGCUAACUCGGAGUCCGAGAAAUCGGGCCGUGAGUUCGAAUCUCACACCCUCCGCCA
RNAcentral lists this transfer RNA (91 nucleotides) under Verrucomicrobiota bacterium. RNAcentral's name for it is "Verrucomicrobia bacterium (freshwater metagenome) tRNA-Ser". It matches the Rfam family "tRNA". From Rfam's summary of the family: Transfer RNA (tRNA) molecules are approximately 80 nucleotides in length. Their secondary structure includes four short double-helical elements and three loops (D, anti-codon, and T loops). Further hydrogen bonds mediate the characteristic L-shaped molecular structure. tRNAs have two regions of fundamental functional importance: the anti-codon, which is responsible for specific mRNA codon recognition, and the 3' end, to which the tRNAs corresponding amino acid is attached (by aminoacyl-tRNA synthetases). tRNAs cope with the degeneracy of the genetic code in two manners: having more than one tRNA (with a specific anti-codon) for a particular amino acid; and 'wobble' base-pairing, i.e. permitting non-standard base-pairing at the 3rd anti-codon position. Lineage: Bacteria; Pseudomonadati; Verrucomicrobiota. The record is from RNAcentral.